GCUCGUAGUUGGAUUUCGGGCGUGGAGGUUCGGUCCGCCGUUUCGGUGUGCACUGUCUUUCUGCGUCUUUCUGUCGGGGACGCGCUUCUGGCCUUAAUUGGCUGGGACGUGGAUUCGACGAGGUUACUUUGAAAAAAUUAGAGUGUUCAAAGCAAGCUAAAGCUCUGAAUACAUUAGCAUGGAAUAACGCGAGAGGACUCGGUCCUUAUUUUGUUGGUCUUCAAGGAUGGAGUAAUGAUUAAGAGGGACAGUUGGGGGCAUUCGUAUUUCAUUGCUAGAGGUGAAAUUCUUGGAUUUAUGAAAGACGAACUUCUGCGAAAGCAUUUGCCAAGGAUGUUUUCAUUGAUCAAGAACGAAAGUUGGGGGCUCGAAGAUGAUCAGAUACCAUCCUAGUCUCAACCAUAAACGAUGCCGACUAGGGAUUGGCAGGUGUUACAUCGAUGACUCUGCCAGCACCUUAUGAGAAAUCAAAGUUUUUGGGUUCCGGGGGGAGUAUGGUCGCAAGGCUGAAACUUAAAGGAAUUGACGGAAGGGCACCACCAGGAGUGGAGCCUGCGGCUUAAUUUGACUCAACACGGGGAAACUUACCAGGUCCAGACAUAGUAAGGAUUGACAGAUUGAGAGCUCUUUCUUGAUUCUAUGGGUGG
Molecule: ribosomal RNA, 647 nt
Filed under: Pycnococcus provasolii
Lineage: Eukaryota; Viridiplantae; Chlorophyta; Pseudoscourfieldiophyceae; Pseudoscourfieldiales; Pycnococcaceae
Description: SSU rRNA
Rfam family: Eukaryotic small subunit ribosomal RNA
Source: RNAcentral